This 120-nucleotide ribosomal RNA is filed under the name uncultured bacterium. RNAcentral describes it as "partial 16S ribosomal RNA". It matches the Rfam family "Bacterial small subunit ribosomal RNA", at positions 796 to 915 of the family's 1533-position model. The record is from RNAcentral.
CAUGCCGUAAACGAUGUCUACUAGCCGUUGGGGGAUUUGAUCCUUUAGUGGCGCAGCUAACGCGAUAAGUAGACCGCCUGGGGAGUACGGUCGCAAGACUAAAACUCAAAUGAAUUGACG